Molecule: ribosomal RNA, 387 nt
Filed under: uncultured fungus
Lineage: Eukaryota; Fungi
Description: bacterial SSU rRNA
Rfam family: Eukaryotic small subunit ribosomal RNA
Source: RNAcentral
GUAGUCAUAUGCUUGUCUCAAAGAUUAAGCCAUGCAUGUCUAAGUAUAAGCAAUUAUACCGUGAAACUGCGAAUGGCUCAUUAAAUCAGUUAUCGUUUAUUUGAUAGUACCUUACUACUUGGAUAACCGUGGUAAUUCUAGAGCUAAUACAUGCUGAAAACCCCAACUUCGGGAGGGGUGUAUCUAUUAGAUAAAAAACCAAUGCCCUUCGGGGCUUCUUGGUGAUUCAUGAUAACUUUACGGAUCGCAUGGCCUUGCGCCGGCGACGGUUCAUUCAAAUUUCUGCCCUAUCAACUUUCGAUGGUAAGGUAUUGGCUUACCAUGGUUUCAACGGGUAACGGGGAAUGGGGCGGGGGCGGCGGGCCGGGCGCGGGGCGCGGCGGGCGA